RNAcentral lists this ribosomal RNA (253 nucleotides) under uncultured bacterium. RNAcentral describes it as "partial 16S ribosomal RNA". It matches the Rfam family "Bacterial small subunit ribosomal RNA", at positions 524 to 776 of the family's 1533-position model. The record is from RNAcentral.
UACGUAGGGGGCAAGCGUUGUCCGGAUUUAUUGGGCGUAAAGAGCGUGUAGGCGGCUUUACAGGUCCGCUGUGAAAACUCGAGGCUCAACCUCGAGACGCCGGUGGAAACCGUAAAGCUAGAGUCCGGAAGAGGAGAGUGGAAUUCCUGGUGUAGCGGUGAAAUGCGCAGAUAUCAGGAAGAACACCAAUGGCGAAGGCAGCUCGCUGGGACGGUACUGACGCUGAGACGCGAAAGCGUGGGGAGCAAACAGG